CAAAAACCGUUACUGGCAAACAGUAAUCUCCGUCUCUCGCUGCGGUUUACACUGUUUUAGAAACGGUUUAGUGUCUUCGGAAAAGUCCGUUAUCAUUUUAGCAGUUUUCAGGUAACGUUAGGCUAACUCUAUAGACUGAGCUCUUGUUGAUGAAACUCUGGGCUUUUAAUCAAAUCUUCGAUUUGAUUAAAACAAAAUGAUUUUUAAAUUAAUUAUUGAAUGAUUAUUGAAUGAGACUGUACAUUAUAAAUGUAAUGUUUUAACUCUAGAUGUUUGUUUGUGUAAAUGCUGUGUGUGCGGUGAGUUCUGCGCGAGUGGGGAGCAGAGUUGCCAUGGAAACGGGGCGUCAACACAAAAACCGUUACUGGCAAACAGUAAUCUCCUUCUCUCGCUGCGGUUUACACUGUUUUAGGAGGACAGAAAGAAACUCUACAGAACAGAAGUGAAGCUCCAAGAUUUCAACAUUUAUGAAGGGAGAUACUGACUUAGAAAUACAGGUGAACUGAAGAAGCUCAUGAAAUACAUGAAUAUGCCUUUUUCAGAAUACAUUUCACCAAUUUUAAGAAGUCCCUGACAUCAUGACCUUGUUUCCUUCUAAUGAACCUGGAACUGCAGAGUAAAUAUUGUUGACUCUGUGUCAGAUUGCUUGUGAUGACGAUCAGAGCCUGAGUGAACCUGCUGUCAGACAGGUUGGCCUGAUUGACGAUGCCAUCGUCCAUCGCCGAUGGCUGAUAGACAUCACGAUGCUGCGCCGGCAAACAGCGUCAUCAGCUCCAGUAUCUCGCCCGUGCAUCUGUUGUCAUGCGACAGAGAAGUCACGUUCUAUAGACAGUUUCUACAGACAGUUGUGAACGUGCUGACAGCUGGUUGCCCAGGCUAUGGAUUAAAGGUAAUACUGUUGGCCAGCAGAGCCCUGCUCACCCUGACGGCCCACCGCUGCUGUCAGACAACAUCUCAAAGAUGCUAUAAACUGCAGGACUAGAUGGCCAUCCCAAGGUUUCUAGAGAUUACACCAGCUCCAGACUGAAUCCAGACUCACUUGUGAAGACUUCAGAUGACACCAACGCUCACAAAGACUACAGACGACAACUGUACAUGAACACACAAAACAUUGGACACACAAAACAAUUAUUAUCCUU
Molecule: long non-coding RNA, 1139 nt
Organism: Carassius auratus (goldfish)
Lineage: Eukaryota; Metazoa; Chordata; Actinopteri; Cypriniformes; Cyprinidae
Exons: 7
Source: RefSeq, a predicted model, not a curated record